CCUACGGGUGGCAGCAGUGGGGAAUAUUGCACAAUGGGGGAAACCCUGAUGCAGCAACGCCGCGUGAGGGAGGAAGUAUUUCGGUAUGUAAAGCUCUAUCAGCAGGGAACAGAAAAGAAGGCACGUGGCCAAGAAGCCCCGGCUAACUACGUGCCAGCAGCCGCGGUAAUACGAAGGGGGCAAGUGUUAUCCGGAUUUACUGGGUGUAAAGGGAGGGUAGAUGGGAAGGCAAGUGAGAAGUGAAAACCCAAGGCUCAACCAGGGGACUGCUUUUGAAACUGUCAAACUAGAGUACGGGAGAGGUAAGAGGAAUUCGUGGUGUAGCGGUGAAAUGCGUAGAUAUUAGGAGGAACACCAGUGGCGAAGGCGUCUUACUGGACCGAAACUGACGUUGAGGCUCGAAAGCGUGGGGAGCAAACAGGAUUAGAUACCCGAGUAGUC
RNAcentral lists this ribosomal RNA (441 nucleotides) under uncultured bacterium. RNAcentral describes it as "partial 16S ribosomal RNA". It matches the Rfam family "Bacterial small subunit ribosomal RNA", at positions 338 to 795 of the family's 1533-position model. The record is from RNAcentral.